ACUAUUUGUCUGAAAUAAAUUGCCUAACAAUAUCGCCAUGUCAGCUUCUGUGAGUAGAGAUAACAAAAUAUUAUCACUCAUAUUAAUAGUAACCAAGUAGAAACUGAAACUCUCUUUUAAAAUUGCUUUUCUUAUGUGCUGUAUGACAAAAAACACAGUGGUUGACAAAAGGCAGGUGGCUGACAGUCUUUCCUACUUAAACCAGCACCUGAUCUCCUGGAUCAGGCAAGCAUAUGAGCCUUUCCCCUAAUGAAGUCAACAAUGGAGCUGGAGCUGGGGAAGAGAUGACAAGGGAACAAAUCAAUCAACCCUCCCAGGACCAGAGUGAGAGCUACCUUUGGUUACUGGGAAGGAUGUCAGAAUCCUAAUGUCCCAUGGCUAGCAAACUCCUUCCUUCUUUUAUGAUUCUUGGGAGUGGAUUUACUUACAAGUUGCUUGGUUCUGAGAAUGAUGUAUAGCUAUGAGCACAUAACAUGGAAUGAUACAGACUCCAAAGGGCAAAGCUGAGUAUAAAUCAAUGGACAAUGGAGAGAUGCAUGGUGGUCAUGGAAAUGAGGAAAGACGUGAUAGAGUCUUGAAGGACAUGUGGUGUAAAAAAUGUUAUUAAAGAAAUGAAUAAAAGAAAAAAAAGAAGAUAGCCUUGUCACAUGGUGAAGACAAGAAGAUAAAUGAUGGAUGUGCUCUGCUAAUAUCCUUACAAUGCCAUGAGAAUGCAGCAACUCUGGGGAGGACAUGGGGGAGAGUCACAGAGGAUAUAGGCAAGUACCAAUAAGGUAUUGGAUAAUAAACUCAAAUGAAAAAAAUCUUGGAAUAUGUGAACUGUGAAGACAAAUGUGUACAGCUUAAAUUAUAAGAGAGGGAAUCAAUAAGUAAGUUUUCCAUGGGCCUCUGCUGGGAGAAACAGGAUUGGAGCAUCUAUUGACUUCCACCAGCUGUUGCUUGCCAAUUCUGUUCCCUGACAGGUAGCAAGCUGUGUACUUGGCUGCAAAGAAUCUCAAAUAGUUCAGAUGUGCCUCAGGGAGAAAGUCAUUUAUCUUUGUGCCCAAGUGAGCCAGAGGUGAAUUCAAAUCAGAAGAGAAGCAAAUGUACAUUCUUGGGGCUCGAAUUUGGGACUUCCCUUGAGAAGGAGAAGAGUUGUGAGCCAGGGUUAUUUGUGUUCAUUGACUUACCAGAAGAUGGUUUAAGGAAAUGGAGUACUUAAGUGAUGAAGGAAUGAAAGACUAGAGAAUUGGAAGUGGAAUUUCCAGGAUCACGUAUCUAACAUGUUUCUGAGAGAGAAUUCAAACUCAGGUCCUCAUGACUCCUGAAAAUCCUGGAACUUAUCAUUGCUUCCUAAAAGUUUUUUGAAGAGGACCAAUGGCAUCAUGGCACAAGGCAGAGUCACACAAAGUCAUCAAAGGACUCACUCUCUUUUCCAGAGUCAUCCAAACCUGGUGGUAAGACAGAAGUCAGGAUGGCUGACUGGGAUGCAGUGGAUGACCUUGGCAUCUUCAGCAUUUGACCCAGCUUAGAAGGUCAGACAAAGUGCAGUUUUGAUUUAUGCCAGUUUAAAACCAUUCCGACUUAUGAAACACUCUAUAUUAAUGGCUUUACCAUUCCAAAGUUUGGGUCUGUCUGAACAUUGCUUGUAUGUUGGGGGGAAGGCUGCCUUGCAGCCCUGGAGGGAGAAUCCUCAAGAUUUACUUAGAGGUGGCCCUGACCUCUCAUGAGACCUUUGUCAUCCAUGGGCUUGAGCCCCUUCUGCCUUGCCUUCAUUCAUCCUAUUUGAUGAUCAAAUCCUGAAUAUUCCCUUAGAUCUAUGUUACAAGUGAGGAGCUCAAAGUGAACUAUUCCUAUUGUUCUUAUAAUUUUGGUAUCUAGAAAUAUAACAUCAUCAUAUCCAUUUCACUUACCUUUUGUCACUCUACCAGUAGCAUACAUUCCAUUAAAAUUUCAACAGAAAUGAUGACUAUAAAUGCUCACUUUCUGUUGGACUGCUGUUAUCAAGAUUGCUUUUUUUAUCAAUGUUCUGGGGAGCUGCUUAAAAUGUAGCAGCAAGAGGAAUUUGAAGGCCAGAUUGUGAAUUCCAGCUUUCACUUUGGACAAUUCUCUGAAGCUCAGCAAAUGGGGACAAUCCAGUAAAAUAAUGCGUGUACUCUUUAGAAGAUUAUUGUGAGGCUCAAAAAAGAUCAUGUCUAUAGUGUGCUUUGUAAACGCUAAGCACUAUAUAAAUGGCAGCUAUUAAAAUCGUUGCUGUAAUUAAACAGAAAUUUUUCCUUUCCAAAAAUCACUAGAGGCACGGGAGGUAACCAUAAUCUACUAAUAUUUGUUUGAGUGUUUCUGGAAGGUCGUGUCAACUCUUUUUCUGUCACCCCCACGACCCCCGUGCUAUUUGUGUGGCUUCCUUCUGCUAUUUUCACACUGAUCAAUGGAACAUUAAUAAAUGUUUGUUGAACUGAAUUGAAUUGAACUGGGAGACAAACCUAUGCUAAAUGAUACAUAACCAUAUCCCCAAAGGCCAUAGUUGUCUUGUAGGUGUUGAUUAUAGAUGAUGACAUAGUUCUGUCAUGGUUUUCCAGGAUCAAAAACUCUAAGGGAAAGAAGAAAUCCCUCCCCCUUCUCCUUUCUCCACUUCCUACAAUACCAUUACUUUUAUGCAUCUUAGAUAAGUGACUGUCAGUAAGAAUUUUAUCAGCUUUUUAUAGUAAACUGAUUUACUAUCUUACAUAUUUCAUCGUUAGACUCAGCUCAUGUCUAACCUAACUUUAUUUUGCUUCAAUGUUUUCCUGUGUUGUCUGAUGCACUGUAUUUUUUGAUUCAGUAGAGUGUUUUGGCCAGGUUCUACUGUGAUCUUUUCUGGUAAGAUCUGGUUAAUAUAUCCAAAUGUAGAAUGAAGACGUACCUUAAGAGUGGUGGACAUAUUAAAGAUUUAACUAAGUGUGUAACGGAAAACAAUUCUGAAGAAUUGAAAAUUCCAGAAAAAUAAAAUUGCAAGGAGAGAAGAGAAAGAGUACAGGCACAUAUGCCACUUAGUUCACCAACCAGCAAUUAUUAAGCAUUUACUUAUGCCAGGGACUGUGAUUAUAAGUGCUAGGGAUAUGAGGACAGGUAAAAGACAAUCCUUGCUCUCAAAGAGUUCACAGUAUAAUUAGGGUAAACAACAUGCAAACAACUAUGUAUAUAAAUAAGAUAUCUAUAGGCUAAAUUGAAAGUAAUCUUGGGGGGAAGGCAUUAAGGUUAAAGAGGACUGGAAAAAACUUCAUGUAGAAGCUAAAACUUGACAAGGUCAAUGCAGUAUUCAGAUAUUAGAAAUAAAAGCAAUGCCAGGAAGGUGGGAUUGGAGGAGAUCAUUGCUCCCCUGACUAUAGGGACUUGGAAUAAGCAUUCUUGUUAGGGAAUCCAAGAGAAGUCUGUAUGCUGAAUGCAAUUUUUACUGAGUCCAAUUAUACAUCAUUUAUCCUUCAUUCCUAUAGCCUUUCAUGUUCAUUAUUAAAGGUUUUAGUGCCACUACAGUCUGAGAGUGCUCAUUUUUAGUUGAAUCCAGAACUGAGACCCUCUAGGACUAAUGCAGCUAUGUUUAAUGGGUAUAUUUUUGUGCUUCAAAUGAAUGAUUUAUGUCAGUGGGAAAUUGCCCGAGAUUAUGUGCCCAAAUGUAGUGGGAUUCCCAAACUCUAAAACAUCCAUUUGGAAUCCCCCUCUAUUAGAGUUUACAUCAAAUAGCUUGUAGUCUAAGUAGUGCCACAAACACGUGUCUAGCUAUAGAGCUGUAAGGACCUAAGAGGAGAGAAUUUGCUUGCUCUCCAGAAAAAGGAUAAGUUUAGCUUGACUGAAUGGUAGUAAUUCCAUCUACCCACUCUUGCAUUAAGUGAUUAUCCCACUGGAAGUCAGUGAUCUGCUUUGAAGUCCCUGGCUUCAAAAGACUCACCACAUGAGGUCUAUUCACAUAAGCCAGGGUUCCUCUAAAUAGAAAAACAUCCUCUGCAUCUCACUCUUAAUUUCUUGCAGUUGAUGAAAUGUCUUUGAGCAUCAAUAGGAUUUGGAGAUUACCAUAAUUUCUCCUCAGAUGCACAACUGGGAGGGCAGGCGCUUGAAGGCUCAAGUGUGGAGUUUUAUAUUCCCUUUAAAUUGGUGAGGACUACUCCUGGAAAAUUGCUUUUAGGAUUUUAUGGUUGCUUUGGUUGUCCUCUCAAAAGGUUAGCUCAAAUUCUAGUCAACAAUUUGUUGAGAUUUUGAGAGUGACAUGGAAAUAUUGUUCCUCUUUUUUUAAACUAUUGAACAAGGGCAAGUGUCAUUAAUUAUUUAUAAUUUUGGACAUUGGAAUCCUGGAUAGUUUGUCCACUUAUGAUUUAAUACUGAAUUCUGAAGUUGGGUUUUAUUUCCAGUGACUUUUCAGUUGAUCCCAAAGUAGAGAAGGUCAAAUAAAAUCCUGGGUUUAAUCAAUAUUUCUAUUAUUUAUUAUUUCAAAUGAAACAUUGAGCUUAAUAUUUCCAUUAUGAAACAAUGUGUACUGCUUCUCAGUCCCAGUUCUAUUAGAUGUAAUUCUCACCAUAUGACUAUUGAUUUUAUUUCUUACUUUUAAAAUACUACUACUCUAAAAAAAUUCCUUUGAUGAAUUAUUAUUAUAGUAAAAAUAGGAAAAUUGAGUCCCAAAUCCAAAUUAUCAAAGAACAUAAUGAAUUUUAGGACUAGAUUACUUAAAAGAAGUAAAAAUGUAAAAUAUAUAAUAUAAUUGUUUGAAAUAUUCAGAUUUUUAAAAAACUUUUUUGGGAAAGACGGUUUGGGGAUUUAUAAUCUCUCUUCUCUACUCUUUAUCACCUUAGAGCAAUAGCAUCAGACUCAAAUAGAAACAGAUCCAGGGAGUGUAUAUUGGUAUAUUGACUUAGAAAACCACAAACUAACAUUGUCUAUACUAUGGUAUAUUCUUAUUUAUUGUGUAUAUAUAUAUAUGCAUAUAUAUAUAUAUGUUCCUUUUGUUAAACAUUUGCAUUUGAAUGUGGUAUGGUUUGCCCUUGGGAGUUUUGUCAGCCCUUCUGUUUUAGAGAAUCAUUUGUGGCAUUCAGGGGUUAAGGAAAAGGAAGCCCUGGAAUGGGGACAGAGUGGUUAUAAACAAGAUGAGGGAAAAAAUGUAAAUAGGCUACCAGACAUGUUCCAAUAGUUACUCACAACUUGGACUUUUAACUUUUACUCCUUUAUCCUGAGCUAGUGUCUAUUUUCCUGAUGUUCUUCCAUUCUUCACUGCAUGCAUCACAUUUUUGCACUAUCUACACUUCAUAUCCCAGGAUAAGACAGAGCCCCAGUGGCUCUAGAUUAGUUAUAACCUUGAAAUUUAGUAUUCAGAAGACUUCAUGGUAGGUCUGAUGAUAAAAAGACAAAAAUAACAAUCAUUUUCCUCAAGGAAUUUUUGUUCCUUUGAGUAGAUUAGGAGGGAGGAAUACAAAAAUAUACAAAGAUAAGUAAGCCUGAAAGUAACAGAAUAGGUAAGCAAAAAGUAAAUAUUAAAGGGUGAGGUGGAUUUUAUGUCAAAGAAAAAUUUGAAGAAAUCCAGGAACUUCUUGGCAGUGAGAGUGGGAGAGAACAUGUGGAUGAAGAACAGAGAAAGUAACAGAAUGAUAUUUUAAUGAGUAUAUAAUAUGGAAUACUUGCAAAGGAGGACAAAUUAGACAAGAAGUUUGAAAAACAGACCAGAAAUGGUAGAGUAAAUGCUCAAAUGGUUCAAUAUCAAAAACAGAACAACUGACACAUUACUUCUGACUUGAUGUUAAUUUUAUGGAAUCAUAGAAUUUCUGGGCCAGAGUGAACCUCAGAAGCCUUCCAAUCCAGUCGGUCUUUAAAAGAGAAUCUUUCUACAACUUUUCUUUUGUUUCAGACUGGAAUUCUUUAUCCUGCCCAGAAAGGCUAUGGAAAAGUGAAAGAAGUACAAGGACUAGUCACCUCUCCAAUCUAACACUCAUAGACAUAGAAGCUUCAACUUCCUUUUUCCCUAUAGGCAGCCUGGCAGUCCUUUGCUUUCUUCCUUCACCUUCUUCAGCUCGCCAUAUUGGUGCUAAACUUUAUGUAGAGAGCAGAUUUAUCUGAGUCCUCUGGAAGCUCAAAAUUAAAUGGCCCACCCAUCUCAACUUCUCCCAGUAGUGAGGAUUAAAGUCAUGAGCCAAUAUAUCCAGCUUUUCACAAUAUGUCCAUCAUUGUGCCUUUGCCCAAAGACCACAUAGGAGGAAGGAGAGAACUAUCUUACCUGCCUACUACCAGAACUACUUAGUUUACAUGCAUGGACAGGAUUAGGUCCAGUAUAAAACAAAAUAAGGAUCAAGGUGCAUUGUGUUACAGUGAAAAGACCACUGGAUUGGGAAACUAUAUCUGCUUUUUUGGCUACACUGUUAAUAAUAAUAGCAUUUACACAGAACUUUAAGAUUUGCAAAAUACUUUAUAAAUCACUUUUUAUUCCUUACAACUAUUGUGGUGUCAUGAUAAUUUUAGGUUUGUGACUUAAAAUCUAGAUUUAAUUGGUCACCAAGGAAAAUCCCAAAUAAAAUACCCAAGUCAGUCUGGAAAUUUAUGGUAAUUUAAUUAAUAUAGAGGGAAAGAAUUUAAAGAAAAGGAGGGAAGAGGAUAUAGGAUUUCUCCUGCCUGCCCUGUGCUGGGGAGAGUUUUAAAAUCCCCACCUCUAGGUCUCUGAAGAAGAUUAGAGGCUUCUAAGAGGAUA
Monodelphis domestica (gray short-tailed opossum) is the source of this 6679-nucleotide long non-coding RNA. RefSeq lists it as uncharacterized. Lineage: Eukaryota; Metazoa; Chordata; Mammalia; Didelphimorphia; Didelphidae. The record is from RefSeq and is a predicted model, not a curated record.